Molecule: ribosomal RNA, 420 nt
Filed under: uncultured bacterium
Lineage: Bacteria
Description: bacterial SSU rRNA
Rfam family: Bacterial small subunit ribosomal RNA
Source: RNAcentral
GAAUAUUGGUCAAUGGAGGCAACUCUGAACCAGCCAUGCCGCGUGCAGGAUGAAGGCCCUCUGGGUUGUAAACUGCUUUUCUCUGGGAAGAAAAAAUUGGAUUUAUCCGAUACUGACGGUACCCGAGGAAUAAGCACCGGCUAACCCCGUUCCAGCAGCCGCGGUAAUCCGGAGGGUGCAAGCGUUAUCCGGAUUCACUGGGUUUAAAGGGUGCGUAGGCGGAUUUCCAAGUCAGAGGUGAAAGCCCGGGGCUCAACUCCGGAAUUGCCUUUGAUACUGGUUGUCUUGAAUAUAGUUGAGGUAGGCGGAAUGAGUCGUGUAGCGGUGAAAUGCAUAGAUAUGACUCAGAACACCGAUUGCGAAGGCAGCUUACUAAACUAUUAUUGACGCUGAGGCACGAAAGCGUGGGGAGCAAACAGG